AGUGAACGCUGGCGGUAGGCCUAACACAUGCAAGUCGAACGGCAGCACAGUAAGAGCUUGCUCUUACGGGUGGCGAGUGGCGGACGGGUGAGGAAUACAUCGGAAUCUACUUUUUCGUGGGGGAUAACGUAGGGAAACUUACGCUAAUACCGCAUACGACCUACGGGUGAAAGCAGGGGAUCUUCGGACCUCGCGCGAUUGAAUGAGCCGAUGUCGGAUUAGCUAGUUGGCGGGGUAAAGGCCCACCAAGGCGACGAUCCGUAGCUGGCCUGAGAGGAUGAUCAGCCACACUGGAACUGAGACACGGUCCAGACUCCUACGGGAGGCAGCAGUGGGGAAUAUUGGACAAUGGGCGCAAGCCUGAUCCAGCCAUACCGCGUGGGUGAAGAAGGCCUUCGGGUUGUAAAGCCCUUUUGUUGGGAAAGAAAAGCAGCAGGUUAAUACCCCGCUGUUCUGACGGUACCCAAAGAAUAAGCACCGGCUAACUUCGUG
This 492-nucleotide ribosomal RNA is filed under the name uncultured bacterium. Its description in RNAcentral is "partial 16S ribosomal RNA". It matches the Rfam family "Bacterial small subunit ribosomal RNA", at positions 29 to 507 of the family's 1533-position model. The record is from RNAcentral.